RNAcentral lists this long non-coding RNA (505 nucleotides) under Oryza sativa Indica Group (long-grained rice). RNAcentral's name for it is "lncRNA OsPr106_06g0014360". Lineage: Eukaryota; Viridiplantae; Streptophyta; Magnoliopsida; Poales; Poaceae. The record is from RNAcentral.
GCACUACUAGGCUCGCGCGCGCAUGACCUCACCUGCCGCCGCCGCCGCUCGCCCGCCGCCGCUUGCCCGCCGCCGCUCGCCUGCCGCUCGCCUGCCGCCGCCGCCGCCGCCGCGGCUGCUCGCCUGCCGCCGUGCCGCUCCCCUCGCUCGGCACACCAGGCCACCUUCUCCCCUCUUCUCUCCUCUCAUCUCCAGGCCACCCACCGCCUCCCUCUUCCUCUCCCUAUCCUCGGUGAGCUACAGAUCCGGUUCGGGGGUCAUCGGAAUCGAUGGUCUCGGCCAUUGGUCUCCUCGCCGGUGAAUCGUUUUGAUACCCUUCUGCAUACAUUUAGCACAAAAUCCACAUGGUUCUGUGGAGAAAUUGAUGGGCUAGGAUGAGGUGUAAGUCGCAGAUUACAGAGAGGACGACUUUCAUUCUGCGCAUCUACCGUCAUACUGAGCAAGUUAUCGAGCUUUCUCCUCUCUUAAUCAGGGCUGCGAUAUUUAGAUUAUGGUGAGUUUUUCU